Molecule: ribosomal RNA, 1343 nt
Filed under: uncultured bacterium
Lineage: Bacteria
Description: 16S ribosomal RNA
Rfam family: Bacterial small subunit ribosomal RNA
Source: RNAcentral
GACGAACGCUGGCGGCGUGCUUAACACAUGCAAGUCGAACGGAAAGGCCCUGCUUUUGUGGGGUGCUCGAGUGGCGAACGGGUGAGUAACACGUGAGUAACCUGCCCUUGACUUUGGGAUAACUUCAGGAAACUGGGGCUAAUACCGGAUAGGAGCUCCUGCUGCAUGGUGGGGGUUGGAAAGUUUCGGCGGUUGGGGAUGGACUCGCGGCUUAUCAGCUUGUUGGUGGGGUAGUGGCUUACCAAGGCUUUGACGGGUAGCCGGCCUGAGAGGGUGACCGGCCACAUUGGGACUGAGAUACGGCCCAGACUCCUACGGGAGGCAGCAGUGGGGAAUAUUGCACAAUGGGCGGAAGCCUGAUGCAGCAACGCCGCGUGCGGGAUGACGGCCUUCGGGUUGUAAACCGCUUUCGCCUGUGACGAAGCGUGAGUGACGGUAAUGGGUAAAGAAGCACCGGCUAACUACGUGCCAGCAGCCGCGGUGAUACGUAGGGUGCGAGCGUUGUCCGGAUUUAUUGGGCGUAAAGGGCUCGUAGGUGGUUGAUCGCGUCGGAAGUGUAAUCUUGGGGCUUAACCCUGAGCGUGCUUUCGAUACGGGUUGACUUGAGGAAGGUAGGGGAGAAUGGAAUUCCUGGUGGAGCGGUGGAAUGCGCAGAUAUCAGGAGGAACACCAGUGGCGAAGGCGGUUCUCUGGGCCUUUCCUGACGCUGAGGAGCGAAAGCGUGGGGAGCGAACAGGCUUAGAUACCCUGGUAGUCCACGCUGUAAACGGUGGGUACUAGGUGUGGGGUCCAUUCCACGGGUUCCGUGCCGUAGCUAACGCUUUAAGUACCCCGCCUGGGGAGUACGGCCGCAAGGCUAAAACUCAAAGGAAUUGACGGGGCCCCGCACAAGCGGCGGAGCAUGCGGAUUAAUUCGAUGCAACGCGUAGAACCUUACCUGGGUUUGGCAUGGAUCGGGAGCGCUCAGAGAUGGGUGUGCCUCUUUUGGGGUCGGUUCACAGGUGGUGCAUGGCUGUCGUCAGCUCGUGUCGUGAGAUGUUGGGUUAAGUCCCGCAACGAGCGCAACCCUUGUUCACUGUUGCCAGCACGUUAUGGUGGGGACUCAGUGGAGACCGCCGGGGUCAACCCGGAGGAAGGUGGGGAUGACGUCAAGUCAUCAUGCCCCUUAUGUCCAGGGCUUCACGCAUGCUACAAUGGCUGGUACAGAGAGUGGCGAGCCUGUGAGGGUGAGCGAAUCUCGGAAAGCCGGUCUCAGUUCGGAUUGGGGUCUGCAACUCGACCUCAUGAAGUCGGAGUCGCUAGUAAUCGCAGAUCAGCAACGCUGCGGUGAAUACGUUCCCGGG